AACGAACGCUGGCGGCAUGCCUAACACAUGCAAGUCGAACGAGACCUUCGGGUCUAGUGGCGCACGGGUGCGUAACGCGUGGGAACCUGCCCUUAGGUUCGGAAUAACUCCCCGAAAGGGGUGCUAAUACCGGAUAAUGUCUUCGGACCAAAGAUUUAUCGCCUUUGGAUGGGCCCGCGUUGGAUUAGCUAGUUGGUAGGGUAAAAGCCUACCAAGGCGACGAUCCAUAGCUGGUCUGAGAGGAUGAUCAGCCACACUGGGACUGAGACACGGCCCAGACUCCUACGGGAGGCAGCAGUGGGGAAUAUUGGGCAAUGGGCGAAAGCCUGUUCCAGCAAUGCCGCGUGAGUGAUGAAGGCCUUAGGGUUGUAAAGCUCUUUUACCCGGGACGAUAAUGACAGUACCGGGAGAAUAAGCGCCGGCUAACUCCGUG
Molecule: ribosomal RNA, 433 nt
Filed under: uncultured bacterium
Lineage: Bacteria
Description: partial 16S ribosomal RNA
Rfam family: Bacterial small subunit ribosomal RNA
Source: RNAcentral